Long non-coding RNA from Erpetoichthys calabaricus (reedfish), 358 nucleotides. RefSeq lists it as uncharacterized. NCBI's taxonomy places the organism in Eukaryota, Metazoa, Chordata, Cladistia, Polypteriformes, Polypteridae. The transcript is spliced from 3 exons. The record is from RefSeq and is a predicted model, not a curated record.
GAUAAAAAUUGAAGUGGAUGAACUGGCAAAAGAUUUUGAAGCAGGGCAAUUAACAGAAUAAUCAAGAAGAGAAAUACAGCAAAAGGACCUGGAGAAAAGGUCCUCUGGAGCAUCAAUGAAGAGAAAGGUUGAAGGCCACGUUUUCUUGCUGAUGCAUUGGAUAUAAAUGAAGAAUAAGCACAGCAUGUGGUGCCAGGCCAUUGCAGGGCAUCACCCACUCAAGCUCAUACUGGACAAGAUAAUCCAUUGUCCUACCUCUGAUGACGUCACUUCUGGUUUCCGGUCUCCUGAACCCACCUUACACUUUUCAGCCCUUAAAUCUGGCUCCUCUGCCAUCUUGAGGCAGUCUACCAUCAAC